Electrophorus electricus (electric eel) is the source of this 1059-nucleotide non-coding RNA. The record is from RefSeq and is a predicted model, not a curated record. NCBI's taxonomy places the organism in Eukaryota, Metazoa, Chordata, Actinopteri, Gymnotiformes, Gymnotidae.
CUGGGCUGGCUAUCAGCGAUAAACACAACUCCCGGACUUUAGCAGCAAACACACAGGACGGCGCUCUUGACAGUUAACUAACGGGACGGUGUCAAGUGACAGACUGUGUAGCUCACACAAAAUGGUGUUUACCCAGGAAGUGUAAAAUGGCGAAUGACCAGGACUGAAAUCCUUAGGAGUUUAGGUAACAAGAAGAGAGCUCCAACACCUAGCACAAAGAUUGAUGUUGAUUCUAGCCAGGCUGGAAUUAGAAUCCCAUAUGGCUCAGAUAAAAUGAGUACAACAAGCUCUGGGAUUCCUACAGUCUCACUUUGUGCAUUACACCACUGUCUUCAUACAGUUUUCCUCAAAGUGCAAAAGGAAUUGCACCUCAGUGGCAGAAUGUGUGCUUGGACUUUUAUCCACUGCAACUGGAGUGCGUCUGGAGGAUAGGAUGGACCUCCCUGAGGAACUCCACAGUUCAGUCAUCGAGGCUGUGUAUGAAUAGCUCCUCAGAAGAAUUAAGACCAGGAAGAAUGUGAAUCUGACCCAAGCAUUUAUGACUGGAGGUCUGGUGCAAGUCCUUAUCACUUGUUAAGCUAGUUCAAAGGAAAGAUCUGGCCCGGUUCCAGUACUGUCCCUCCACACACGGCUCCAGAUCUGCAAAGCGGACAGUAAGGACCACUGUAUCUAGUGCAGCAGAAGGUAGUGUUAAGACCAGGAAGACACCAUGGAUACAUCGCGUAAUGGGAAUGAUCUCAAAAUUGGUAGAAAGAAACCCAGGGCUGUCAAACAGAUAACAUGCAGGUGCAUGGAGGAACAAGACCAAACUCUUGAGUUCUGGUGUAUAUAAAAAUAGGACUCUUUCAUUCUUUAGAAGCAACGCAAAACACUAGCUUUUUAGAAAGCUGGAAUGUUAAAGACUGUUUCUGUUAUGAUGGUAUUUCUUGCUCUCUGUUUUUGUUCUACCCAGUUUUGUUCCACCCCACUUCUAGCCAGACUCCUUGAAUAAGACGUGUCAGAGCUCUUUCUUACAGAGGAUAAGCUCCAUGUUUAAAAAAAUAAAAAGUAAACACUUGA